GGAGCAACCUGGGCUGGUGGAAGGUGUCCCUGCCCGUGGCAGGGAGUGGAACUGGAUGGGCUUUAAGGUCCCUUUCAGCCCAAAUAAUUUUGGGAUUCUCUGACUCUACGGCUGUAGGCUCUGC
Empidonax traillii (willow flycatcher) is the source of this 124-nucleotide long non-coding RNA. RefSeq lists it as uncharacterized. The record is from RefSeq and is a predicted model, not a curated record. Lineage: Eukaryota; Metazoa; Chordata; Aves; Passeriformes; Tyrannidae. The transcript has 3 exons.